UCUUUUCGAUCACUAUUCUUA
RNAcentral lists this non-coding RNA (21 nucleotides) under Caenorhabditis elegans. Lineage: Eukaryota; Metazoa; Nematoda; Chromadorea; Rhabditida; Rhabditidae. The record is from RNAcentral.